This 341-nucleotide ribosomal RNA is filed under the name Nematoda environmental sample. Its description in RNAcentral is "bacterial SSU rRNA". It matches the Rfam family "Eukaryotic small subunit ribosomal RNA", at positions 1300 to 1665 of the family's 1831-position model. Lineage: Eukaryota; Metazoa; Nematoda. The record is from RNAcentral.
CGUGGAGCGAUUUGUCUGGUUUAUUCCGAUAACGAGCGAGACUCCAGCCUGCUAAAUAGUGGGGGCAUUGCCACUGUGCCCUCCCACUUCUUAGAGGGAUCAUCGGCGUUCAGCCGCACGACACGGAGCAAUAACAGGUCUGUGAUGCCCUUAGAUGUCCGGGGCUGCACGCGCGCUACACUGGCGAAGGCAGCGUGCCUGUCCCUCUCCGAUGGGAGUGGGUAAACCGAUCAAAAUUCGCCGUGAUUGGGAUCGGAGAUUGCAAUUAUUCUCCGUGAACGAGGAAUUCCAAGUAAGUGCGAGUCAUCAACUCGCGUUGAAUACGUCCCUGCCCUUUGUAC